RNAcentral lists this unclassified non-coding RNA (425 nucleotides) under soil metagenome. RNAcentral's name for it is "partial contains 5.8S ribosomal RNA, internal transcribed spacer 2, and large subunit ribosomal RNA". The stretch from base 1 to 120 matches the Rfam family "5.8S ribosomal RNA", at positions 35 to 154 of the family's 154-position model. The record is from RNAcentral.
GAUGAAGAACGUAGCGAAAUGCGAUAAGUAGUGUGAAUUGCAGAAUUCCGUGAAUCAUCGAAUCUUUGAACGCACAUUGCGCCUUCUGGUAUUCCGGAAGGCAUGCCUGUUCGAGAGUCAUUAACAACCGUUUCGAUCCCUUUCUUUCAGAAAUUACAAAGAGGAAAAGGGUUUGGUUAUGGUGGAGGAGGGAAAGGGAGCGUUUAGCCUGUAAAAAAAGAGGCUGUGUUCCGCCUCCCCCCCAAAAUUGUACAGGCGGUCGUGUGCGCCCACGCAUCGAGGUGUUGUAAAAGCUGCCACGGCACUUUUCACCUGUGCAGUGCGAGAUUGGCCAGCCGGUUUAAAAACCCCUCCAAACAAUCAAAGGUUGACCUCGGAUCAGGAAGGGAUACCCGCUGAACUUAAGCAUAUCAAUAAGCGGAGGA